RNAcentral lists this ribosomal RNA (511 nucleotides) under uncultured bacterium. Its description in RNAcentral is "partial 16S ribosomal RNA". It matches the Rfam family "Bacterial small subunit ribosomal RNA", at positions 28 to 523 of the family's 1533-position model. The record is from RNAcentral.
GACGAACGCUGGCGGCGUGCCUAAUACAUGCAAGUCGAGCGAAUCGAUGGGAGCUUGCUCCCUGAGAUUAGCGGCGGACGGGUGAGUAACACGUGGGUAACCUGCCUGUAAGACUGGGAUAACUUCGGGAAACCGGAGCUAAUACCGGAUACUUUCUUUUCUCGCAUGAGGGAAGAUGGAAAGAUGGUUCUGCUAUCACUUACAGAUGGACCCGCGGAGCAUUAGCUAGUUGGUGAGGUAACGGCUCACCAAGGCGACGAUGCGUAGCCGACCUGAGAGGGUGAUCGGCCACACUGGGACUGAGACACGGCCCAGACUCCUACGGGAGGCAGCAGUAGGGAAUCUUCCGCAAUGGACGAAAGUCUGACGGAGCAACGCCGCGUGAGCGAAGAAGGCCUUCGGGUCGUAAAGCUCUGUUGUUAGGGAAGAACAAGUAUCGGAGUAACUGCCGGUGCCUUGACGGUACCUAACCAGAAAGCCACGGCUAACUACGUGCCAGCAGCCGCCGUAA